Molecule: long non-coding RNA, 2612 nt
Filed under: Homo sapiens (human)
Lineage: Eukaryota; Metazoa; Chordata; Mammalia; Primates; Hominidae
Description: HSALNT0144550
Source: RNAcentral
GAGACUCCGUCUCAAAAAAAAGAAUUAGGGGGUGAGAUAGAUGACAGAUGUGGUUAAUUGCAUUAUUCUUCCUGAUUUUUCACGCCUUCCUGUAUGCUUGUCUUAAGAUCUAGCACUUCUGUUCUCUGGGGUUGGAGGAUAUUGUCUUACUGUGUCUCUGUUGGACAUGGCCUUGUGAUUUGCCUCAGCCUUUGACCUUUGAGAUGUAGGUGGAAGCAACAAAGUGACAGUUCCAAGUCCCGACCAUAAGAAGCAUUGUGUAUUUCCAUUUGUGCUUCCAACCGUUCCCAUGACAAGAGCAUACCCUUGGAUAUAGCUGCUACUCUUUCGUCUUGGACCCCAGAAUGAACGUGUGGAUCUCCAGCCUCCCCACUAACCUGUGGGCCUGAGAACAAGAGCUCCCUGUUGCACUGCUGACUGAUACACAUAGUGCAAGCACAGCUGGCCCUCCAUACAGCUUGGGAAGAUGGAUCAAUAUGGCCUGUAGAGUAAGAAGACCUAUAUCCAGAUCUGCAUUUUACUGUUUUCUCUGGGGGGAUUGGAGAUAAUGCUGCAGAAAAGCCAAGUACACUCCCAAGGAUAGGAUUUGGCAGGAGCAGCUGCGACAGUGAGCUGGUGGAUCCCUGGCCAGGAGGGAGCACAAUGAUAAAAGAUUCAGGACUGUCAGAAAUGCUGGAUGCUGUAGAAAAGGAUUGGAUGAUGCCUUCUCACUGGCCCCAGGGCUCUUGGAAUUUGUUCUAGAGAAGCACAAAAAGAAGGGAGCAGGUGCUGGGAGCCACAUCUCAAGUUGAAAAGCAUACAGAACAAUUAUUUACUGAGAACUUGUGAAUGCCAAGAGCUGAUCAUGUGUGGCUGGAAUGAUGCUGGUGCUGUGUUCGUAGGUUUGCUUUGUCUCCAGCACCCCACUGGUCAAUAGGAACAAGGGAGCAAUUUUCAGAGUUAUUAGCUGUGUUUGAGCUGUGCUGUCUGCCAAAAGAAGAAGUGGCUUUUGGACGCAGAUUUUACCUCGGAUGUAAUGUGGAGAGACACGUUGACACCUCCCUCUGAUAAAGGUGCUUCCCAUUUCUACAGCCGGUUUACUGCGGUCUCCUCAUGAACAUGUUGUCAUCACGCCCAGUGUAACUGCUCCCUCCCUGCAGGAGUUUACUCUGCUACAUGGAUAAGCUAACAAAGGCUCAUCUGGAACUACAGGGUUACAUCUCUAGUGUCAUUGUAUGACACAGUGACUCAGAGAUGAUUUCCUCUUCAGAAAACAGAAGAAUUUUCUGACACAUUUAUCCAGAUUGGAUGAUAUGGAGAUGAACACCAGGACUAUUUUAGAAACUGCAUGUUGAAGACCACUGAGAUAUAAAACUUAGAAAAAAAAAGGUUCUGAAUCAAUGCCUUGUGAAGACAGUUGCACAGCUUUCAGUACUGUUACCAUAUGCGAGUGUUCAUGGGAACAGCCAUGCCUGGAUAAACCAGAUAAACUGAGGAAUCAAAAGGCAUAUUCAGACCAAGACUAAAGAGAACCUUCUUCACCUCCUCCAUACUUCUUCAAUAAGACCACUCAGGACACCUUAACUGCCUUGCUGCCUUUCUGGAAGAGAACAAUCCAAUAAUGAGAACAUCCUUGAGGAUCACAGAGUCCAGAGUCCCUAGAGAGAGGGAGAGCAAUCAUGUCUUCUAGACGGCAAGUUACUUACACAUAUGUCUAGAGAAGAACAAUCCAAUAAUGAGAGCAUCCUUGAGGAUCACAGAGUCCAGAGUCCCAGAGAGAGACAACAAUCAUGUCUUGUAGAUAGCGAGUUAAGAGACAUCAGUCGCAACUACUUCAGGCUGACUUGUGAUCAGAGACCACCCAAAAUGACAGCACGUAGAAAGUCCUGUGUGGCCCUGAUUGCACCUAUAGGACCAGGUGUUAGAGAAAUAGCUGGCUUCUAUCCAAGUUAAGUUCAAGUCUGUAGGACAAGGCAUUAGAAAAAUCAUUGGUCUGUAUUUGAGUUAAACUCAAGUCUGCAGGAGGGCUUCCUUUUGAUGCUCUUUGCCCUCAAGGAUAAGAAAUGGAAGGUAUGAACUGUGGGCCUUAUAUGGGACUAUACUUAGAAGGCACUCGGGAAACAGUCAGUGAAGGCAGAAAAGAAGGGGGACUUGUGAAACCAAAUCAAAGAUAAUUUCUCCAUGUUUUGGCUUGGCUGAUUUGGUAUUACUUAGGUGACAAGAGUAGAGAAGGGAAAUCAAAGAGUAGAAAGGGUAAUCAAAAGUGAUAUUCAGAUCCUUGAGAUAUCCAUUAGGCAUCUACAUAGAGAUGACUUACGGGCAGUUGUGCACAUAAAUCUGGACUUCUAGAGAGAGGUCAGAGCUGGAAGCUCUGGGUUAGGAAAAUAAGCAUGCCAAUGUCAUUUAAAGCCCAAGGGCUCGCAAGGUUAGCUAAGGAGAGUAUUCUGAGAGAGAGGAAAGGGGGCUAGAUCAAUCUUGGUCCUAUGCUGGUAUUCUUACAGUUAGGGCUUUAAUGGAGAAAGAACCAGAGAAGAUGCUGAGAAAAAGUCACCAAGAAUCUGGUGUGUAAAAAGGAUAGGGUGGUGUACUGGAAGUCAACAACAACAACAAAAGUGUUUUGAGGCAGAGGGGGU